UACGUAGGGGGCGAGCGUUGUCCGAAGUUACUGGGCGUAAAGCGCGCGUAGGCGGCUUUUUAAGUCUGGGGUGAAAGGUUCAGCGCUCAACGCGAACAGUGCCCUGGAUACUGGGAGGCUUGAGUUCGGGAGGGGGUAGUGGAAUUCCUGGUGUAGCGGUGAAAUGCGUAGAUAUCAGGAGGAACACCGGUGGCGAAGGCGGCUACCUGGCCCAGAACUGACGCUGAGGUGCGAAAGCGUGGGGAGCGAACGGG
This 254-nucleotide ribosomal RNA is filed under the name uncultured bacterium. Its description in RNAcentral is "partial 16S ribosomal RNA". It matches the Rfam family "Bacterial small subunit ribosomal RNA", at positions 524 to 776 of the family's 1533-position model. The record is from RNAcentral.